GAUGAAGAACGUAGCGAAAUGCGAUACGUAAUGUGAAUUGCAAAUUCAGUGAAUCAUCGAGUCUUUGAACGCACAUUGCGCCCCCUGGUAUUCCGGGGGGCAUGCCUGUCCGAGCGUCAUUUCAACCAUCAAGCCCUGGGCUUGUGUUGGGGACCUGCGGCUGCCGCAGGCCCUGAAAUGCAGUGGCGGGCUCGCAAGACACACCGAGCGUAGUAGCUUACAACCUCGCUUUGGGAGUGCUGCGGGUGCUGGCCGUAAAGCGACCUUUUGCGUCUUUAGCACUAGGUUGACCUCGGAUCAGGUAGGAGGACCCGCUGAACUUAAGCAUAUCAAUAAGCGGAGGA
RNAcentral lists this unclassified non-coding RNA (344 nucleotides) under soil metagenome. RNAcentral describes it as "partial contains 5.8S ribosomal RNA, internal transcribed spacer 2, and large subunit ribosomal RNA". The stretch from base 1 to 119 matches the Rfam family "5.8S ribosomal RNA", at positions 35 to 154 of the family's 154-position model. The record is from RNAcentral.